Molecule: long non-coding RNA, 648 nt
Organism: Pectinophora gossypiella (pink bollworm)
Lineage: Eukaryota; Metazoa; Arthropoda; Insecta; Lepidoptera; Gelechiidae
Exons: 3
Source: RefSeq, a predicted model, not a curated record
AACGGGUGUCGUGCGAAGUCGAUGUUUUUGCCUGAACAAGUAAACACCACGCGAUAUUAAGACUACCGUUACACCCCGGACACAACAUACAAAACGCUUCAUUUUACACAGACACUACACAUUGACGCGCAUGUGUUUGUGUGAAGUCUGACAUCCAUGCGAUUGAAGACUGAUAUAAAACCGAGAAGGGGUGAGGUAAACCAAGCUCAACCGCUGGUGGGGAACAGAGAGUUGCCGUGAUUUAUGUGAUAUGUCCCCACCGGGAUUCGAACCCGGGGCCUCCGGAUCGUAAGUCCAACGCUCAACUACUGGACCACAGAAGCCGAUAUAACCAAUAUAAAUAUUGAUAUCACAAGUUAUUCCAAUCGCGAACUAAUUUUCCUGAAAACAGACAUCAGCCAUUCAAUAAUUUUAAAGCAGCUACAAUUUCUGCCCCGUUUCCAUUGACAUUUGAUUGAUACCCAUGGCAAAUCCAGGAGUGGUGGUGCCAGCUGGCGUUGACAUAAGAGAUUUUUACUAAGGCCGGCUCGACCAUUAUAGACGGCGAUACGGCUCACCACCUAUCAAGUUGGUUUUUCAGGAAGCUCUCCGAUGGAUGUAUACCCCUGACUACCCCAAAUGGGAUAGAGUCGUGAGCUUAUGUUGUUG